RNAcentral lists this long non-coding RNA (753 nucleotides) under Pan troglodytes (chimpanzee). RNAcentral describes it as "lincRNA". Lineage: Eukaryota; Metazoa; Chordata; Mammalia; Primates; Hominidae. The record is from RNAcentral.
GGGCUUUUAGGAAAGUCAGUCUGCUUUUGAUGAGGAGGUUCAGGAAGGCAUUAUUUGUCUCAAUCUAUCCCCCCUACCCAACAGUGAACAAGAAAGCAGAUAUCCUUGCUGACUGUUGGCAGCCGUUGUGGGACCACAAAGGCACCAGCCUCAGGAGAUGGGAAGACUGAGUUGCCAGGGACGUUGCUGAGCCAUUAGAGCCAUCCUUACCCACAAGCCCACCCCACCUUGGGACUUCCUCUUGGAACAUGUCACCUUCCCAUGUUUUCCAAGUCGUAAAAGUAGUACAUGUCCAUCACAGACAAAUGGGGAGUGCAGAAAAGCACAAAGAAUAAAACAGAGACAGCAGGGUUCAGGCUUCGAGUUGUGGUGCAAUUGGCCCACAUCCACCCCACCCUCUCUUCACGCAGCAGAUGACUGGGACAUAGAGAAGCUGAUGGCGCCACUGCCACCGAAUUUCCACCUGCAGCCCUUCUCGGGGGCCACCACCAUGCUCCUCAACAGCUGUCACUGACAGGACAGAGCUUGAGGAUCUUGAGGAGCUGCUGACCCUGCAGAACCGCUCUGAGACCAGGGGGUGCUUUUCCAGGUGAAACAAUUCAUGGCUAGGCUGAUUUAACUAAUGGGUUUUUCAUCAGAGUAAUACAUAUUCAGAUAUGUCCCAUGCUCAGUGAUGGCAUCAAGCAAUGUCAGGAUUAGAUGGGAAAUUAGAGGCAAUUUGCUCCAAGUAUCUACUUGUGUACCCUCCACAGA